GAUGAACGCUGGCGGCGUGCCUAACACAUGCAAGUCGAGCGAACAGAUGAGGAGCUUGCUCCUCUGACGUUAGCGGCGGACGGGCGAGUAACACGUGGAUAACCUACCUAUAAGACUGGGAUAACUUCGGGAAACCGGAGCUAAUACCGGAUAAUAUAUUGAACCGCAUGGUUCAAUAGUGAAAGACGGCUUUGCUGUCUCUUAUAGAUGGAUCCGCGCCGGAUUAGCUAGUUGGUAAGGUAACGGCUUACCAAGGAAACGAUGCGUAUCCGACCUGAGAGGGAGAACGGCCAAACUGGAACUGGGGACCGGUCCCGACUCCUACGGGAAGCAGCAGUAGGGAAUCUUCCGCAAUGGGCGGAAGCCUGACGGAAGAACGCCGCGUGAGUGAUGGAAGUCUUCGGAUCGGAAAACUCUGUUAUUAGGGAAGAACAAAUGUGUAAGUAACUAUGCGCGUCUUGACGGUACCUAAUCAGAAAGCCACGGCUAACUACGUG
This 497-nucleotide ribosomal RNA is filed under the name uncultured bacterium. Its description in RNAcentral is "partial 16S ribosomal RNA". It matches the Rfam family "Bacterial small subunit ribosomal RNA", at positions 28 to 507 of the family's 1533-position model. The record is from RNAcentral.